GACGAACGCUUGCGGCGUGCCUAAUACAUGCAAGUAGAACGCUGAAGAGAGGAGCUUGCUCUUCUUGGAUGAGUUGCGAACGGGUGAGUAACGCGUAGGUAACCUGCCUUGUAGCGGGGGAUAACUAUUGGAAACGAUAGCUAAUACCGCAUAACAAUGGAUGACCCAUGUCAUUUAUUUGAAAGGGGCAAAUGCUCCACUACAAGAUGGACCUGCGUUGUAUUAGCUAGUAGGUGAGGUAACGGCUCACCUAGGCGACGAUACAUAGCCGACCUGAGAGGGUGAUCGGCCACACUGGGACUGAGACACGGCCCAGACUCCUACGGGAGGCAGCAGUAGGGAAUCUUCGGCAAUGGGGGCAACCCUGACCGAGCAACGCCGCGUGAGUGAAGAAGGUUUUCGGAUCGUAAAGCUCUGUUGUAAGUCAAGAACGAGUGUGAGAGUGGAAAGUUCACACUGUGACGGUAGCUUACCAGAAAGGGACGGCUAACUACGUGCCAGCAGCCGCGGUAAUACGUAGGUCCCGAGCGUUGUCCGGAUUUAUUGGGCGUAAAGCGAGCGCAGGCGGUUUGAUAAGUCUGAAGUUAAAGGCUGUGGCUCAACCAUAGUUCGCUUUGGAAACUGUCAAACUUGAGUGCAGAAGGGGAGAGUGGAAUUCCAUGUGUAGCGGUGAAAUGCGUAGAUAUAUGGAGGAACACCGGUGGCGAAAGCGGCUCUCUGGUCUGUAACUGACGCUGAGGCUCGAAAGCGUGGGGAGCGAACAGGAUUAGAUACCCUGGUAGUCCACGCCGUAAACGAUGAGUGCUAGGUGUUGGAUCCUUUCCGGGAUUCAGUGCCGCAGCUAACGCAUUAAGCACUCCGCCUGGGGAGUACGACCGCAAGGUUGAAACUCAAAGGAAUUGACGGGGGCCCGCACAAGCGGUGGAGCAUGUGGUUUAAUUCGAAGCAACGCGAAGGACCUUACCAGGUCUUGACAUCCCGAUGCUAUUUCUAGAGAUAGAAAGUUACUUCGGUACAUCGGUGACAGGUGGUGCAUGGUUGUCGUCAGCUCGUGUCGUGAGAUGUUGGGUUAAGUCCCGCAACGAGCGCAACCCCUAUUGUUAGUUGCCAUCAUUCAGUUGGGCACUCUAGCGAGACUGCCGGUAAUAAACCGGAGGAAGGUGGGGAUGACGUCAAAUCAUCAUGCCCCUUAUGACCUGGGCUACACACGUGCUACAAUGGUUGGUACAACGAGUUGCGAGUCGGCGACGGCAAGCUAAUCUCUUAAAGCCAAUCUCAGUUCGGAUUGUAGGCUGCAACUCGCCUACAUGAAGUCGGAAUCGCUAGUAAUCGCGGAUCAGCACGCCGCGGUGAAUACGUUCCCGGGCCU
This 1369-nucleotide ribosomal RNA is filed under the name uncultured bacterium. RNAcentral describes it as "bacterial SSU rRNA". It matches the Rfam family "Bacterial small subunit ribosomal RNA", at positions 28 to 1381 of the family's 1533-position model. The record is from RNAcentral.